CAAGCCACUCUGGGACUGAGCCAGGAAUAUCUGAUCAAAGGUCUCGGAGACAAGGACGUCAAAGCUUACCUCGAUUAUCAAGUCGGUUUAGCCACUCUCCUGGGAGCCGAUAAGGACAGCGCAACUAAGCAGCAGACGGAAGCCCUCGAAUUUGAAAUCAAGCUGGCCAAUAUCAAUUUGCCGAGGGAGGAGCGCCGCGAUGCCAACAAACUUUACAAUCCCAUGACUAUUAAAGAAUUGAGCCUCAAAGUACCCGAAAUCCCUUGGCUGGUCUAAAUGAACACGAUCCUGGCCCCGCAUCACGUCCUGACUGAAAACGAGCGCGUCAUUGUUGAUGUGCCCGACUAUUUCCCCAAGCUGGUUGAUUUGCUGGCCAAAACUCCCAAGAGGACUUUGGCCAAUUAUUUGAUGUGGCGCGUUUCCUCGGCGUCUGUCGGCUACUUGAACGAAGCUGCUAGAAAUCUGUAGCUGAAAUAUUCCGCCGUCUUGACCGGCACAACUGAACGCAAACCCCACUGGGAGGAGUGCACUGAC
Long non-coding RNA from Daphnia pulicaria, 534 nucleotides. RefSeq lists it as uncharacterized. Lineage: Eukaryota; Metazoa; Arthropoda; Branchiopoda; Diplostraca; Daphniidae. The transcript is spliced from 3 exons. The record is from RefSeq and is a predicted model, not a curated record.